UACGGAGGGGGCCAGCGUUAUUCGGAAUUAUUGGGCGUAAAGGGCGCGUAGGCGGCCAUGCGUGUCUUCCGUGAAAUCCCUCGGCUUAACUGAGGACGUGCGGAAGAAACUGCAAGGCUCGAGUCCGGGAGAGGAGGGUGGAAUUCCCAGUGUAGCGGUGAAAUGCGUAGAUAUUGGGAGGAACACCGGUGGCGAAGGCGGCCCUCUGGACCGGUACUGACGCUGAUGCGCGAAAGCGUGGGUAGCAAACGGG
RNAcentral lists this ribosomal RNA (253 nucleotides) under uncultured bacterium. RNAcentral's name for it is "partial 16S ribosomal RNA". It matches the Rfam family "Bacterial small subunit ribosomal RNA", at positions 524 to 776 of the family's 1533-position model. The record is from RNAcentral.